AUUGAACGCUGGCGGCAGGCCUAACACAUGCAAGUCGAACGGUAACAGGAAGCAGCUUGCUGCUUUGCUGACGAGUGGCGGACGGGUGAGUAAUGUCUGGGAAACUGCCCGAUGGAGGGGAUAACUACUUGAAACGGUAGCUAAUACCGCCUAACGUCGCAAGACCCAAGAGGGGGACCUUAGGGCCUCUUGCCAUCGGAUGUGCCCAGAUGGGAUUAGCUAGUAGGUGGGGUAACGGCUCACCUAGGCGACGAUCCCUAGCUGGUCUGAGAGGAUGACCAGCCACACUGGAACUGAGACACGGUCCAGACUCCUACGGGAGGCAGCAGUGGGGAAUAUUGCACAAUGGGCGCAAGCCUGAUGCAGCCAUGCCGCGUGUAUGAAGAAGGCCUUCGGGUUGUAAAGUACUUUCAGCGGGGAGGAAGGGAGUAAAGUUAAUACCUUUGCUCAUUGACGUUACCCGCAGAAGAAGCACCGGCUAACUCCGUG
This 489-nucleotide ribosomal RNA is filed under the name uncultured bacterium. RNAcentral's name for it is "partial 16S ribosomal RNA". It matches the Rfam family "Bacterial small subunit ribosomal RNA", at positions 30 to 507 of the family's 1533-position model. The record is from RNAcentral.